This 253-nucleotide unclassified non-coding RNA is filed under the name fungal sp. RNAcentral describes it as "partial internal transcribed spacer region". The stretch from base 1 to 46 matches the Rfam family "Eukaryotic small subunit ribosomal RNA", at positions 1786 to 1831 of the family's 1831-position model. The record is from RNAcentral. Lineage: Eukaryota; Fungi.
AAGUCGUAACAAGGUUUCCGUAGGUGAACCUGCGGAAGGAUCAUUACCAAAUCCAAAACCUUAUCAACACCUAAACAUGUGCACUGAGAGUGGUCCGUUCUCCACUUCCCUUUCUCCUCCUUCACGGGCUGGGGGGGGGAGCGGAGAGCGUUUUUUUCUCAACCCCUUUUCAACCAUUACCUUAACCAUGUGAUGCUGAAAGCAAAAAAAACGAAACAUGAGACAACUUUUAACGGUGGAUCUCUUGGCUCGU